GUUAAGCGUGCUUGGGCGAGAG
This 22-nucleotide small nuclear RNA is filed under the name Arabidopsis thaliana (thale cress). Its description in RNAcentral is "snRNA_01030". Lineage: Eukaryota; Viridiplantae; Streptophyta; Magnoliopsida; Brassicales; Brassicaceae. The record is from RNAcentral.